AUACGGAGGGUCCAAGCGUUAUCCGGAUUCAUUGGGUUUAAAGGGUUCGUAGGCGGAUAAAUAAGUCAGUGGUGAAAUCCCGAAGCUCAACUUCGGAACUGCCAUUGAAACUGUUUAUCUUGAAUUUAGUUGAAGUGGGCGGAAUAUGACAUGUAGCGGUGAAAUGCAUAGAUAUGUCAUGGAACACCAAUAGUGAAGACAGCUCACUAAGCUAAUAUCGACGCUGAUGAACGAAAGCAUGGGUAGCGAACAGGAUUAGAAACCCUAGUAGUCC
RNAcentral lists this ribosomal RNA (274 nucleotides) under uncultured bacterium. RNAcentral's name for it is "partial 16S ribosomal RNA". It matches the Rfam family "Bacterial small subunit ribosomal RNA", at positions 523 to 796 of the family's 1533-position model. The record is from RNAcentral.